GUCCACGCCGUAAACGGUGGAUGCUGGAUGUGGGGACCAUUCCACGGUCUCCGUGUCGGAGCCAACGCGUUAAGCAUCCCGCCUGGGGAGUACGGCCGCAAGGCUAAAACUCAAAGAAAUUGACGGGGGCCCGCACAAGCGGCGGAGCAUGCGGAUUAAUUCGAUGCAACGCGAAGAACCUUACCUGGGCUUGACAUGUUCCCGACAUCCCCAGAGAUGGGGCCUCCCUUCGGGGCGGUUCACAGGUGGUGCAUGGUCGUCGU
This 263-nucleotide ribosomal RNA is filed under the name uncultured bacterium. RNAcentral describes it as "partial 16S ribosomal RNA". It matches the Rfam family "Bacterial small subunit ribosomal RNA", at positions 793 to 1055 of the family's 1533-position model. The record is from RNAcentral.